CGGGGUGUAGCGCAGUUGGUAGCGCGGGUGGUUUGGGACCAUCAGGUCGCGUGUUCGAGCCACGUCACUCCGACCA
This 76-nucleotide transfer RNA is filed under the name Bacillota bacterium. RNAcentral describes it as "tRNA-Pro". It matches the Rfam family "tRNA". From Rfam's summary of the family: Transfer RNA (tRNA) molecules are approximately 80 nucleotides in length. Their secondary structure includes four short double-helical elements and three loops (D, anti-codon, and T loops). The record is from RNAcentral. Lineage: Bacteria; Bacillati; Bacillota.